GCAAGAGCCCCCCCUAACCCGAGAGGAGAGGCGGCGGCGGCGGCGAUCCGGAGCGCCCCCAGCCAUGUCGCCGCAGCUCCUAUUCCGCCGCUUCGCGGGCGGCCACCGCUGCCGAGUCCAAAGCCACCGCCGCCACAACCUCAGCUCGGCUGCGGGAGCGGCUGGCGGCCCCCACUACGUCGGCGAGAGGCGGCGGCAGCAGCAGCAGCAGCAAGAGGAGGAGAGCAAGGCGGUGAAGGUGUCGGUGUGGUGGGACUUCGAGAACUGCCACGUGCCCCAGGCCGUCAACGUCUGCCGCAUCGCGCAGCGGGUCUCCGCCGCGCUCCGCGCCGCCGGCGUCCGCGGCCCGCUCUCCAUCACCGCCUUCGGGGACGUCAUCCAGCUCUCCCGCUCGGCACAGGAGGCGCUCGUCGCCACCGGCAUCGCCAUCUCCCACGUCCCAAACAGUGGAAAGAAUAGUUCUGACCGGUCAUUUAUGGCUGAUCUUGUCUACUGGAUUGCUCAGAACCCACCACCAGCUCAUUUCUUCCUCAUAUCUGGGGAUAAAGAUUUCGCAAACAUUUUGCAUCGUCUGCGAAUGAGCAACUAUAACAUACUACUUGCUUGUCCUAGUUCUGCUACCAAUGUACUGUGCAGUGCAGCGACAAUUAUGUGGCCUUGGGAAGCUUUAGUUAAAGGGGAAGAUUUCUCACCGAAACGAUUUAACCAUCCACCUGAUGGUUUGUCUGGAUCUUGGUAUGGCCACUACAAGGGAGCCCUUGAUGACCCCUUCAUUGACACUGAAGCAGAAGAAACCAUGGCAAUACCAGUACGAUCUGACAUCAAACAUUGUCCAAAUUCUGAAAUUGCAGUUAAUACAAUCCCCGCAUCUACAGUUAAUGGGAUACGGGAGGCACUAAGUUCAUAUCCUAAUGGGGUCAGCCUUUCAAUUCUUCGAGACGAACUUAAAAGGAACAAUGUGUUUCUUGGUUAUGACUUCUUUGGCCACAAAAAGUUCUCUUGCCUUAUCCAAUCGAUGCCAGAUGUUGUGGAAUUUACUGAUUCUCCAUUGGGUACCAAUCAGCCAUAUGUAGUUGGAGUCAAGAAAAUAUUACGGGAGCCUAAUGAAAAAAGAAUCAAGCCCCUGAAUUCUGCUGAAAGUAAUGCCAAGGACAACAAUCGCAAUCGAGAAACACACAACGAUAAGACCCAUCCAGCCUCUGUAUCAACUUUGCAUUCUGAACAAAAUCGUAAGACCCUAAAUUCUUCUCGAAGUAUUUUCAGGGACAGAAGCUUCAUGCAGACUGUGAAUAAGAAUUCACCCACAUUUGCUGUCUCAUCUUCAUCGGAUGUGUUAUCUGAGGAUCGAAAGGAAUGCGCAACAGCUGACAUGAAUCCAGAGACAGAAUUACCUGCCGAUCACAAGGAAGUUGAUGCAAGGACUGUCCCUGGAACUCCCUCUUCCUCAAGGGUGGAAAAUACUGUUAACAGGGAUGGGCUAUUAAAAAGGAUCUGGAUACUGUGGAAUGGCUCUGAGAGCGCUAAAUGUGAGGUUUCUCCAUGUAGUGAAAGCACUUCUGCUGGAGUGGUUGGUGAUUCGCAAACACCUCAGAAAGAUCAUAGUUCCGAUCAAAGUAGCAGGCUUUUGAAUAAGAUCCAUAAGACCUCUUCCCAACACGGCAGCUCAGCUGGAAUUGAAAGCUCUGCAGCGAUGACUGCUAACUUUUCAGCAUUAUCAGACAAUGAGGAUUCUGAAACAGUAAAGCAUGCGGAAAAGAUGGGAAUGCUAAAGAGUGAUCCAUCAAUUCUCCAAAACUCAAAACCAUGUAAUGGACCUGCAUCUGUUCCCUUGAGUAAAGCUGAAAAAAAUGCUGAUACCUCCAAGAUGAACAAGGGCUUAUUUAGCUGGGCAAUGGAGUGGUGGAAAUUUGGAAAAUCAGAUGCAGAGAACAGUACAACUAAUAAAAGUGUCAGUGAUGAAGCAAGUGCGGACUUAACUAUGGAAUCUGAAUCUUUAGAGGCUUCAACUUCUGGAAGUGAGCAGCAAGUGGUUAAUAAAAUAUUCACAAAAUUUUACUUUUGGGAUGUUUUAGAACGACAGCUAUCCAAGCCCCUUGGGUCUGAGCUUAUCUCAAAAGCAAAGACAAGGGAGGAGUUGGCACAUGGAUUGGAGAAUUUAGAUUGCUGGCCUCUCAAAGGCUUGGUUCAAAAAGAUCUUGAUCAUCUGGUACAUCUUUUAGUUUCAGAAAAGAAAUGGAUUGAAGAAACUCCAUCGAGAUAUUUUCCUUUUCGUCUUACACUCCCUCUGAAGAGAACACAUGUUCCAUCAAAUCCUAGUAAGUCUGGUCUCAGUUCUCUCUUCUCUAAUGGGAAGCCAUUGGAGCAGGGUAAACAUGUCGAUGACAAAGGCAGGACAAACAGGACUCUCACUAGGGAGGAGACAUUGUCUGAUUGCCACAAGCUGUUAAAGGACCUUCUUCUGCAAUAUGAAGACGGUUUUAACAUCAGCAUUUUCAAGCGUCACUUCGCUCAGAAGCAUGGGUAUGAGCUUGAUCACCAGAAACUUGGGUAUGCAGACCUUGAGUCACUGUUGCAGAUUAUGCCUGGUGUAAUAGUAAAAUUCCCAAGGGUUCUACCUGCUGAAAAUGAGAAUGGUCGGGCUAGCAAGGGCGAUGGGAAUGAAAGCAGUGGUGAUGAUUUCAUCUGGGAGGAACUCGGUCCUGUAUCUGCUGCUACCAGAACUGCCAAGGGGGUUGAUAAGGAAACAUGCUACCAGUCUCCCACUCAUUCAGAAGAUGAUUUCUCAGAUAAUGACAAUCAAGCAGAUCAACAGCCCAAAAGAGACAGUGAGCAGAGUUCCCUCCUCCAAAUCAUCGAUUCCUGGAGCAGCAGCAAGGAUGAUGGUUCUAGCAACAAACUUGGCAUUGACGGUCUCGUGGACUGUUCCAGGAGCAGCAGCCCGGGUUAUCUUGACACUCUGAAGAGUACAAGGCCGACACAGAAGCAGUAUUGUUUUGUUUCAGGCUCGGACUCGGAAGAAGAUAAAGAGAAGGAUAAGCUUGUAGAGAGCGUCUUGGGCAGUCUGCAAAAAGCACGGGGCGCGAAGGUGCCCAAUUGAAGAACUGGUAAUCGCAGUGGCACUGAUUUUUCUUUUUAAGGCGCUGAAUUGCAGCCGGUAAUUGGCCCGUCACCAUGCUGAAAGCUGACAUGCUUCCUCAUUUCGAUUACGGCGUUCAUUGGCAUCAACAACUCCUCCAGGCAGUAGGAUACGUCAGGACUAACACAGCAAUGUUUUUCUUUCUCGAUUUCAAGAGAUCAUUCCUACGAUUCUGCGGUCGACCGGUACCGACGAAGCUUCGGUUAUCCCGGAAUUCAGACCCCCUCUUUUGCUGAGAAGUUCAGGAAUGCCACCACUUGACAAGAUGAGGCGGGUUUCUACAUCUGGCCAGACAAAAAACGAAGCAGUUUUUCUUGCUUCGAUGGACAAAAAUGAUUAAAUUUGGUUUACACGCACGCAGCCCAGGUGAUCGUUUCUUCUCAUCUUAGUAAAAGCUUCGUUUGUUGCUUGAAAUCUUGGUAAAUUUUCUUCUUUUUUUAAUAAUUAAAAAUCUUGGCAGCCUCUCGAGUCAUUGGGCAUGCACCGAGAUAUUGACAGUUUUGUCUUUGUCUGUCGCAUCUGCGCAUCAUCAUCGUCUUAUAAUAUCGAUGACAAAUGUAGUUGCAGAGACAAUGACAGUCUCUUGAUGUAUUCUAUGGAUAAAUCGCUCGGCCAUUCACUGUUGCAUCGUCAACAUGGCUUGAUGCUGCAUCGUGUCCUGCGCUAAUAAGUUUUUGUCUUCUUGUUGAUA
Molecule: RNA transcript, 3827 nt
Organism: Brachypodium distachyon (stiff brome)
Lineage: Eukaryota; Viridiplantae; Streptophyta; Magnoliopsida; Poales; Poaceae
Exons: 4
Source: RefSeq, a predicted model, not a curated record